Molecule: transfer RNA, 88 nt
Filed under: Candidatus Uhrbacteria bacterium RIFOXYB12_FULL_58_10
Lineage: Bacteria; Candidatus Uhriibacteriota
Also listed under: 2 other names
Description: tRNA-Ser
Rfam family: tRNA
About the family: Transfer RNA (tRNA) molecules are approximately 80 nucleotides in length. Their secondary structure includes four short double-helical elements and three loops (D, anti-codon, and T loops). Further hydrogen bonds mediate the characteristic L-shaped molecular structure. tRNAs have two regions of fundamental functional importance: the anti-codon, which is responsible for specific mRNA codon recognition, and the 3' end, to which the tRNAs corresponding amino acid is attached (by aminoacyl-tRNA synthetases). tRNAs cope with the degeneracy of the genetic code in two manners: having more than one tRNA (with a specific anti-codon) for a particular amino acid; and 'wobble' base-pairing, i.e. permitting non-standard base-pairing at the 3rd anti-codon position.
Source: RNAcentral
GGAGAGGUCGCAUAGAGGUCUAGUGCGCUCGCUUGGAAAGCGAGUAUACCGCAAGGUAUCGGAGGUUCGAAUCCUCUCCUCUCCGCCA